UACGUAGGGGGCCAGCGUUGCCCGGAAUCAUUGGGCGUAAAGAGCGUGUAGGCGGUCCGGUAAGUCCGCUGUGAAAGUCGGGGGCUCAACCCUCGAAUGCCGGUGGAUACUGUCGGGCUAGAGUGCGGAAGAGGCGAGUGGAAUUCCUGGUGUAGCGGUGAAAUGCGCAGAUAUCAGGAGGAACACCUAUUGCGAAGGCAGCUCGCUGGGACGUAACUGACGCUGAGACGCGAAAGCGUGGGGAGCAAACAGG
Molecule: ribosomal RNA, 253 nt
Filed under: uncultured bacterium
Lineage: Bacteria
Description: partial 16S ribosomal RNA
Rfam family: Bacterial small subunit ribosomal RNA
Source: RNAcentral